CAAGUCGGAUGGAGCAACGCUUUAGUGAGUGAAGAAGAAGGGUCGGAAUCCUUAAACUCCCGUUGUUGUUGAAGAAUGGUCGGCAGAGUAACCGUGGUUGGCGUGACGGUAUCCAACCAGAAAGUUCACGCCUAAGUAUCUGCCAGCAGCCGCGCAAAUACGUUGGUGGCAAGCGUUAUCCCGAUUUAUUGGGCGUAAAGCGAGCGCAGGCGGUUUUUCAAGUUUUGAUGUGAAAAGCCCUCAGGCUUAACCCGAGGAAAGCGCAUCGCGAAACUGGGAAACUUGAGUGCAGAAGAGGACAGUGGAACUCCAUGUGUAGCGGUGAAAUGCGUAGAUAUAUGGAAGAACACCAGUGGCGAAGGCGGCUGUCUGGUCUGUAACUGACGCUGAGGCUCGAAAGCAUGGGUAGCGAACAGGAUUAGAUACCCUGGUAGUCCAUGCCGUAAACGAUGAAUGCUAGGUGUUGGAGGGUUUCCGCCCUUCAGUGCCGCAGCUAACGCAUUAAGCAUCCGCCUGGGAGU
RNAcentral lists this ribosomal RNA (521 nucleotides) under Lacticaseibacillus paracasei. RNAcentral describes it as "bacterial SSU rRNA". It matches the Rfam family "Bacterial small subunit ribosomal RNA", at positions 378 to 881 of the family's 1533-position model. The record is from RNAcentral. Lineage: Bacteria; Bacillati; Bacillota; Bacilli; Lactobacillales; Lactobacillaceae.